CAAUAGCGUAUAUUUAAGUUGUUGCAGUUAAAAAGCUCGUAGUUGGAUUUCGGAUGGGCUUGACCGGUCCGCCGUUUGGUGUGCACUGGUCGUGCCUAUCUUGCUGCCGGGGACGCGCUCCUGGCCUUAAUUGGCUGGGACGCGGAGUCGGCGAUGUUACUUUGAAAAAAUUAGAGUGUUCAAAGCAGGCCUAAGCUCUGAAUACAUUAGCAUGGAAUAACGCUAUAGGACUCUGGUCUUAUUGCGUUGGUCUUCGAGACCGGAGUAUGAUUAAGAGGGACAGUUGGGGGCAUUCGUAUUUCAUUGUCAGAGGUGAAAUUCUUGGAUUUAUGAAAGACGAACUUCUGCGAANGNAUUUGGNAAGGAUGUUUNCAUUA
This 377-nucleotide ribosomal RNA is filed under the name uncultured eukaryote. RNAcentral's name for it is "partial 18S ribosomal RNA". It matches the Rfam family "Eukaryotic small subunit ribosomal RNA", at positions 592 to 975 of the family's 1831-position model. The record is from RNAcentral.